RNAcentral lists this long non-coding RNA (759 nucleotides) under Pongo abelii (Sumatran orangutan). Its description in RNAcentral is "lincRNA". The record is from RNAcentral. Lineage: Eukaryota; Metazoa; Chordata; Mammalia; Primates; Hominidae.
CCUCCUUUUCUUUGUCAUGCAUGUAUAUUAAUUGAGUAUGGAGAAUUUCUACGCUUGUUCAGGCCAGCCAACAUAGGGCAGUUUACUUCAAGAGAGGAGACAUGGGUUGAACGCUGAAAACACACACAGCCAAGCCCAGAUGCUAGUCUUGCUAGCAGCCUUCCUUUACCUUUGAUAGCAGGCUGAGGUGCGUCUACAAUCUCAUGAUCCACUGGAAACUCAAAGUCAUCUGCAUUGGAAGAGAAAUUAAUGGAGAGAGGAGAAAACUUGAGAACCCACACUACUCACUCCACAGGGCAAAGCACUCUGUCUCCCGUGCAUUGCUGACCCAUCUCAGUAUUUCCUGUGACCAUCUCCUUUUUCAACUGAAGACUUCACACCUGAAGGGGUUCCCAGGUUUUUCACCUCGGACCUUGCCAGGACUGAUCCUCUCAGCUACUGACCAUUUCGCCUUCAUUCAUGUCCAUGCCACAUCAGGCUGUGUUGUCUAGAUGGAAUGAAUCCACCCCAAAUGUCCCUUUCUGGAGGAAGCCACCAUUAUGCUGUACCUCCAACACGUCCACACACACCGAGGCACCUCGCUCAUGCAAGGUGUGUGUCCUCCAACAAAGUUUCACGCUCUAAACCCAGAUAAUUUUUGAAACCCAAGUUCUGUUGAUUCCCCUACUUCAGGUGCUCCGUAGAUGCUCAUUUGUCUGCUAAACACUGCCCCAGGCAAUUAAAUAUUCCAAAGUGACCAGCAGAAUUUUUAUGUUAAUU